UUUAGGUCUCUGAGUUUCUUGAUGUUAAUCAUUUUUUACGGUCCUGGCUGAAACCGUCGUUGUCGUCGCCAUCGAAGUUGAUCUCAAUCAAAUCAAAGUCAAGCUCUUCAACAGAUAAAGCUUCGACGAUGUUCAGCUUAAUGAUGUGCCUCUUGGAGAUUACAUCGGAGUUCAAUAGUCCAAGAAUGCUACAUAUGUGCCUCACACUGCAGCUUUUGGAGUGGUUUUAUUUGAACUCAUUACUGGAAGAAAACCAAUUUAAACCAAAAGAUUUCCAUGAGAAGAGAAUUUAGUAUUACGGCCAUAUUAUCUGAAGAGUGGCAACACAACUACAAGGCAGACUAGAGGUUCCCUUGCUUCCUCAACAAAAUCAUUGGCGUCCUAGAUCAUGGACUUGAUGUUUGGAUUCUAUAUCAAACUUUAUCAUCCUUCCUAUUUUAUUAUAAGCAAUAUUUUUACUCGGUUAUUCAUACUCUCUAAAGAGGUUCGGCGUAUUAUGUUUUUUUGGAUUUGAGUUGGAAUAUUUACUCAUUGGCAUCUUAGCAUUGUGAUCUUAUGAUCGGUUACUUAGUUUUGUGUUUGUUGGAUUUGAGUUGGAGUAUUUACUCAUUUAAUUGAA
Vicia villosa (hairy vetch) is the source of this 619-nucleotide long non-coding RNA. RefSeq lists it as uncharacterized. The transcript is spliced from 4 exons. NCBI's taxonomy places the organism in Eukaryota, Viridiplantae, Streptophyta, Magnoliopsida, Fabales, Fabaceae. The record is from RefSeq and is a predicted model, not a curated record.